GGGAGCGUGUGUCCUCCGAGCCCGUUCCGGACCACAUCGCAGCGCCGCGUCCUUAGGGGCGGGCUCGGGGGGCACCACCCUCGAGGGGCGGAACCCGUGGGGGCGGUGGCGUGGAUCCGGAGGAUACAGCGAGUAGACGGUAGUCUACAAACCAGGAAGAGCCCCUUGCCAGACACUGGAUCUGCUGGUGCUUUGGUCUUGGACUUCCCAGCUCCCAGAACUAUGUCAAAUCUACAAUCUCAUCUUCCAUCUUAAAGUAGAAAAAGAAGAACAAGGCCGGGUGUGGUGGCUCACACUUGUAAUCCCAGCACUUUCGGAGGCUGAGGUUUCUGAGCAAGAUGCUUGCAUGAUGAAAGAUUCAAUCUAAGGCCAAUGCAAAAAUAUUGUGAAAGCAGCAGGAUCAGCUAGCCUUCCAGUUGGCUUCUUAAAUGCUGCAUUGAAAGGAUGAAACAGAACGGAUGUGAACAAGAGUUCCCUGAGAAAGGACAGCUCUUAGAGAGAUAGGAUAAUUACUGGACUCAAGAAGAUACCAAAUCAUGGUGUGCAUUUCUGCGUUGUGUUCGGAAGAGGAACUGAGGAUUGUUAUGAAAAGGAAGGAUGUGUUCAACUUAGAAGAAUUAAACCUCAACCAUCUGUCUCUUCCAAAUGGCAUUCUUGAUUCCAAAAUCUUAAGUAGAGUGUAAAGUUAUUGAUGGAUACUGUCGUAGCCAGGCCAAGCUGAGCUAUUCAGUAGAACAGAUAAACCUGAAAAUCUCAGUGGCUUAACACAACAAGAUUUAUUUCUUUUUAAUAUCACAAUCUGAUGUAGAUUGGGUUGGUCUCCUGCUUGGCUUUCCAUCAAGUGACAGCUCAGGGAUCCAAGUUGCUUUUAUAUGGAAACUGUCAUCUUGAGAGCAUUUUGUUUCCAGCUGUAUGGACAGGAGAUACAGAAGGUGUGGAGAAGUGCAUCCUUCCUGGAUCACAAAUGAUACAUCACUUUAGCUCACAUUCCAUUGUUAAGAAUUAGUGACAUGAUCCCACUGGGAUUCAUGGGGUCUGGGAUAUGGAACACAUGGAUAUUUGGUGAGCAUGAACAAACUUUGCCACAGAAACAUUACCUCUAUUAUGUUAUUGUGUAUCCCUUAUCUUUUCAUGGUAGAUUUCGCAUAGGAUUAGUAUCAGGAAAAGGUUUUUCUCUCCUAAAAUGUUGGUAUUCUUCUUUUUUUCCUCUGGAGUCAGGAACUUUAGAUUUAAUAUUAAUGACUAUCUAAUCUGAGAUUUUUAGUAGCAUCAUGUAUCCUAUUUCUCUAUUGUGUUUCUGGAAUAGUUUUAUUAUUGCAUUUUAACUGACCAAUUGUAUUUGAUUUUUUAAAAAUUGCCAUAAUCCUUUCUAGCUUUAGCUGUUCAUUUAAUGGACACUUACCAAUAGCAGAUGUAUUGAUAAGGAUGAAGGAUGUUUUUGGCUGCAACAGAAAAACUAAUAAGUGGUUUAAGCAGUAAGAGUUUAAUUAUCUGAUACAAGAAGUCUGGCAGUUUCAGGAUAGGUUAAUUCAAUGGUGUGAUAUCAUAGAGGAUCAUGUACACUCACUUUUUCUGUUUUAUAAACUUCAGCUUUU
Molecule: long non-coding RNA, 1595 nt
Organism: Pongo pygmaeus (Bornean orangutan)
Lineage: Eukaryota; Metazoa; Chordata; Mammalia; Primates; Hominidae
Exons: 5
Source: RefSeq, a predicted model, not a curated record